RNAcentral lists this ribosomal RNA (512 nucleotides) under uncultured bacterium. Its description in RNAcentral is "partial 16S ribosomal RNA". It matches the Rfam family "Bacterial small subunit ribosomal RNA", at positions 28 to 507 of the family's 1533-position model. The record is from RNAcentral.
GAUGAACGCUGGCGGCGUGCCUAAUACAUACAAGUCGAACGAAACUUCUUUAUCACCGAGUGCUUGCACUCACCGAUAUAGAGUUGAGUGGCGAACGGGUGAGUAACACGUGGGCAACCUGCCCAAAAGAGGGGGAUAACACUUGGAAACAGGUGCUAAUACCGCAUAACCAUAGUUACCGCAUGGUAACUAUGUAAAAGGUGGCUAUACUACCGCUUUUGGAUGGGCCCGCGGCGCAUUAGCUAGUUGGUAGGGUAAAGGCUUACCAAGGCAAUGAUGCGUAGCCGAAUUGAGAGGUUGAUCGGCCACAUUGGGACUGAGACACGGCCCAAACUCCUACGGGAGGCAGCAGUAGGGAAUCUUCCACAAUGGGCGAAAGCCUGAUGGAGCAACGCCGCGUGGGUGAAGAAGGUCUUCGGAUCGUAAAACCCUGUUGUUAGAGAAGAAAGUGCGUGAGAGUAACUGUUCACGUUUCGACGGUAUCUAACCAGAAAGCCACGGCUAACUACGUG